This 511-nucleotide ribosomal RNA is filed under the name uncultured bacterium. RNAcentral's name for it is "partial 16S ribosomal RNA". It matches the Rfam family "Bacterial small subunit ribosomal RNA", at positions 28 to 523 of the family's 1533-position model. The record is from RNAcentral.
GACGAACGCUGGCGGCGUGCCUAAUACAUGCAAGUCGUGCGAAUCAGUGGGAGCUUGCUCCCUGAGAUUAGCGGCGGACGGGUGAGUAACACGUGGGUAACCUGCCUGUAAGACUGGGAUAACUUCGGGAAACCGGAGCUAAUACCGGAUACGUUCUUUUCUCGCAUGAGGAGAGAUGGAUAGAUGGUUCUGCUAUCACUUACAGAUGGACCCGCGGCGCAUUAGCUAGUUGGUGAGGUAACGGCUCACCAAGGCGACGAUGCGUAGCCGACCGGAGAGGGUGAUCGGCCACACUGGGACUGAGACACGGCCCAGACUCCUACGGGAGGCAGCAGUAGGGAAUCUUCCGCAAUAGACGAAAGUCUGACGGAGCAACGCCGCGUGAGCGAAGAAGGCCUUCGGGUCGUAAAGCUCUGUUGUUAGGGAAGAACAAGUACGAGAGUAACUGCUCGUACCUUGACGGUACCUAACCAGAAAGCCACGGCUAACUACGUGCCAGCCGCCGCCGUAA